GAUGAACGCUGGCGGCGUGCCUAAUACAUGCAAGUCGAGCGAACGGACGAGAAGCUUGCUCCUCUGCUGUUAGCGGCGGACGGGUGAGUAACACGUGGAUAACCUACCUAUAAUACUGGGAUAACUUCGUGAAACCGGAGCUAAUACCAGAUAAUAUUUUGAACCGCAUGGUUCAAAAGUGAAAGACGGUUUUGCUGUCACUUAUAGAUGGAUCCGCGCUGCAUUAGCUAGUUGGUAAGGUAACGGCUUACCAAGGCGACGAUGCGUAGCCGACCUGAGAGGCUGAUCGGCCACACUGGAACUGAGACACGGUCCAGACUCCUACGGGAGGCAGCAGUGGGGAAUAUUGAACAAUGGGCGCAAGCCUGAUCCAGCCAUACCGCGUGAGUGAAGAAGGCCUUCGGGUUGUAAAGCCCUUUUGUUGGGAAAGAAAAGCAGCAGGUUAAUACCCCGCUGUUCUGACGGUACCCAAAGAAUAAGCACCGGCUAACUUCGUG
Molecule: ribosomal RNA, 497 nt
Filed under: uncultured bacterium
Lineage: Bacteria
Description: partial 16S ribosomal RNA
Rfam family: Bacterial small subunit ribosomal RNA
Source: RNAcentral